CCUACGGGAGGCAGCAGUGAGGAAUAUUGGUCAAUGGCCGCAGGGCUGAACCAGCCAAGUCGCGUGAGGGAUGACGGUCCUAUGGAUUGUAAACCUCUUUUGUCAGGGAGCAAAGGGCGCCACGUGUGGCGUUUUGCGAGUACCUGAAGAAAAAGCAUCGGCUAACUACGUGCCAGCAGCCGCGGUAAUACGGAGGUGGCAAGCGUUGUCCGGAAUUACUGGGGGUAAAGGGAGCGGAGGCGGGAUGUCAAGUCAGAAGUGAAAAUUAUGGGGUGAACUCAUAACCGGCCUUUGAAACUGGUGUUCUUGAGUGAGGGAGAGGCAUGCGGAAUGCCUGGUGUAGCGGUGAAAUGCAUAGAUAUUACGAAGAACACCAGUGGCGAAGGCAGCAUACUGGGGUUUUACUGACGCUGAGGCACGAAAGCGUGGGGAGCGAACAGGAUUAGAUACCCGAGUAGUC
Molecule: ribosomal RNA, 460 nt
Filed under: uncultured bacterium
Lineage: Bacteria
Description: partial 16S ribosomal RNA
Rfam family: Bacterial small subunit ribosomal RNA
Source: RNAcentral